RNAcentral lists this ribosomal RNA (255 nucleotides) under uncultured bacterium. RNAcentral describes it as "partial 16S ribosomal RNA". It matches the Rfam family "Bacterial small subunit ribosomal RNA", at positions 524 to 776 of the family's 1533-position model. The record is from RNAcentral.
UACGUAGGGUGCGAGCGUUAAUCGGAAUUACUGGGCGUAAAGCGUGCGCAGGCGGUCUGUUAAGACCGAUGUGAAAUCCCCGGGCUUAACCUGGGAACUGCAUUGGUGACUGGCAGGCUUUGAGUGUGGCAGAGGGAGGUAGAAUUCCACGUGUAGCAGUGAAAUGCGUAGAUAUGCGGAGGAACACCGAUGGCGAAGGCAAUCCCCUGGGCCUGCACUGACGCUCCAUGCACGAAAGCGUGGGGAGCAAACAGG